RNAcentral lists this ribosomal RNA (490 nucleotides) under Enterobacteriaceae bacterium 'ARUP UnID 310'. RNAcentral's name for it is "bacterial SSU rRNA". It matches the Rfam family "Bacterial small subunit ribosomal RNA", at positions 27 to 506 of the family's 1533-position model. The record is from RNAcentral. RNAcentral also lists the same sequence under 1 other name. Lineage: Bacteria; Pseudomonadati; Pseudomonadota; Gammaproteobacteria; Enterobacterales; Enterobacteriaceae.
GAUUGAACGCUGGCGGCAGGCCUAACACAUGCAAGUCGAGCGGCAGCGGAAAGUAGCUUGCUACUUUGCCGGCGAGCGGCGGACGGGUGAGUAAUGUCUGGGAAACUGCCUGAUGGAGGGGGAUAACUACUGGAAACGGUAGCUAAUACCGCAUAACGUCGCAAGACCAAAGAGGGGGACCUUCGGGCCUCUUGCCAUCAGAUGUGCCCAGAUGGGAUUAGCUAGUAGGUGGGGUAACGGCUCACCUAGGCGACGAUCCCUAGCUGGUCUGAGAGGAUGACCAGCCACACUGGAACUGAGACACGGUCCAGACUCCUACGGGAGGCAGCAGUGGGGAAUAUUGCACAAUGGGCGCAAGCCUGAUGCAGCCAUGCCGCGUGUAUGAAGAAGGCCUUCGGGUUGUAAAGUACUUUCAGCGGGGAGGAAGGUGCUGAGGUUAAUAACCUCAGCAAUUGACGUUACCCGCAGAAGAAGCACCGGCUAACUCCGU